RNAcentral lists this ribosomal RNA (305 nucleotides) under uncultured bacterium. RNAcentral's name for it is "bacterial SSU rRNA". It matches the Rfam family "Bacterial small subunit ribosomal RNA", at positions 334 to 637 of the family's 1533-position model. The record is from RNAcentral.
UUUGCCUACGGGACGCAGCAGUGAGGAACAUUGGUCAAUGGGCGGGAGCCUGAACCAGCCAAGCCGCGUGAGGGAAGAAGGUACAGCGUAUCGUAAACCUCUUUUGUCAGGGAACAAAGGCGGGGACUAGUCCCCGGAUGAGGGUACCUGAAGAAAAAGCAUCGGCUAACUCCGUGCCAGCAGCCGCGGUAAUACGGAGGAUGCGGGCGUUAUCCGGAUUUAUUGGGUUUAAAGGGUGCGCAGGCGGCGUGUUAAGUCAGCGGUAAAAGCCCGGGGCUCAACCCCGGCGAGCCGUUGAAACUGGG